This 497-nucleotide ribosomal RNA is filed under the name uncultured bacterium. RNAcentral describes it as "partial 16S ribosomal RNA". It matches the Rfam family "Bacterial small subunit ribosomal RNA", at positions 28 to 507 of the family's 1533-position model. The record is from RNAcentral.
GAUGAACGCUGGCGGCGUGCCUAAUACAUGCAAGUCGAGCGAACGGACGAGAAGCUUGCUUCUCUGAUGUUAGCGGCGGACGGGUGAGUAACACGUGGAUAACCUACCUAUAAGACUGGGAUAACUUCGGGAAACCGGAGCUAAUACCGGAUGAUAUUUUGAACCGCAUGGUUCAAAAGUGAAAGACGGUCUUGCUGUCACUUAUAGAUGGAUCCGCGCUGCAUUAGCUAGUUGGUAAGGUAACGGCUUACCAAGGCAACGAUGCAUAGCCGACCUGAGAGGGUGAUCGGCCACACUGGAACUGCGACACGGUCCAGACUCCUACGGGAGGCAGCAGUAGGGAAUCUUCCGCAAUGGGCGAAAGCCUGACGGAGCAACGCCGCGUGAGUGAUGAAGGUCUUCGGAUCGUAAAACUCUGUUAUUAGGGAAGAACAUAUGUGUAAGUAACUGUGCACAUCUUGACGGUACCUAAUCAGAAAGCCACGGCUAACUACGUG